GAUGAACGCUGGCGGCGUGCCUAAUACAUGCAAGUCGAGCGAACAGACGAGGAGCUUGCUCCUCUGACGUUAGCGGCGGACGGGUGAGUAACACGUGGAUAACCUACCUAUAAGACUGGGAUAACUUCGGGAAACCGGAGCUAAUACCGGAUAAUAUAUUGAACCGCAUGGUUCAAUAGUGAAAGACGGUUUUGCUGUCACUUAUAGAUGGAUCCGCGCCGCAUUAGCUAGUUGGUAAGGUAACGGCUUACCAAGGCAACGAUGCGUAGCCGACCUGAGAGGGUGAUCGGCCACACUGGAACUGAGACACGGUCCAGACUCCUACGGGAGGCAGCAGUAGGGAAUCUUCCGCAAAGGGCGAAAGCCUGACGGAGCAACGCCGCGUGAGUGAUUAAGGUCUUCGGAUCGUAAAACUCUGUUAUUAGGGAAGAACAAAUGUGUAAGUAACUAUGCACGUCUUGACGGUACCUAAUCAGAAAGCCACGGCUAACUACGUG
RNAcentral lists this ribosomal RNA (497 nucleotides) under uncultured bacterium. RNAcentral describes it as "partial 16S ribosomal RNA". It matches the Rfam family "Bacterial small subunit ribosomal RNA", at positions 28 to 507 of the family's 1533-position model. The record is from RNAcentral.